This 521-nucleotide unclassified non-coding RNA is filed under the name uncultured Glomeromycotina. Its description in RNAcentral is "SSU rRNA". It matches the Rfam family "Eukaryotic small subunit ribosomal RNA", at positions 571 to 1092 of the family's 1831-position model. The record is from RNAcentral. Lineage: Eukaryota; Fungi; Glomeromycota.
CAGCCGCGGUAAAUUCCAGCUCCAAUAGCGUAUAUUAAAGUUGUUGCAGUUAAAAAGCUCGUAGUUGAAUUUCGGGAUCAAUAUGUUGGUCGUGCCUUUGGUACGUACUAGCUUAUUGAUUUCUCCCUUCUGACGAACCAUGAUGUCAUUAAUUUGGUGUCAUGGGGAAUCAGGACUGUUACUUUGAAAAAAUUAGAGUGUUUAAAGCAGGCUUACGCUUGAAUAUAUUAGCAUGGAAUAAUGAAAUAGGACGUUUUGAUUCUAUUUUGUUGGUUUCUAGGAUCGACGUAAUGAUUAAUAGGGAUAGUUGGGGGCAUUAGUAUUCAAUUGUCAGAGGUGAAAUUCUUGGAUUUAUUGAAGACUAACUACUGCGAAAGCAUUUGCCAAGGAUGUUUUCAUUAAUCAAGAACGAAAGUUAGGGGAUCGAAGACGAUCAGAUACCGUCGUAGUCUUAACCAUAAACUAUGCCGACUAGGGAUCGGAUGAUGUUAAUUUUUUAAUGACUCAUUCGGCGCCUUACG